AAGUCGUAACAAGGUUUCCGUAGGUGAACCUGCGGAAGGAUCAUUAACACGUAUCCUGCUCUUGUAACCCGCGUAGUUCGCAAUCUCUGAUAAAUCAUAGCCCGGAAAGUUGUAGUGAUUCAGAGACCUCUGGCUACGUGCGAACAUUGGAACAGUUACAAUCGAGCGGUAGUUCUAUAGGCAAUGUUUCCCCAAGCAGGAAUCGUAGAAGCGGUAUCCUGUAGACCGUACAGUCGGGCAGGAGCUUUGCCAAAGGGUCCCCAUGCCCCCUAAUAACCCCACAGUUUAAUGUGAAGCUCAAUGUAAUACAUUGGGUAAAAAAACCGAACAACUGUUAACAAUGGAUAUCUUGGUUCUC
This 358-nucleotide unclassified non-coding RNA is filed under the name fungal sp. RNAcentral's name for it is "partial internal transcribed spacer region". The stretch from base 1 to 46 matches the Rfam family "Eukaryotic small subunit ribosomal RNA", at positions 1786 to 1831 of the family's 1831-position model. The record is from RNAcentral. Lineage: Eukaryota; Fungi.